CAACAAAGAGGAGUUCGACAUGGC
This 24-nucleotide non-coding RNA is filed under the name Arabidopsis thaliana (thale cress). Lineage: Eukaryota; Viridiplantae; Streptophyta; Magnoliopsida; Brassicales; Brassicaceae. The record is from RNAcentral.